This is a long non-coding RNA of Myodes glareolus (Bank vole), 625 nucleotides long. RefSeq lists it as uncharacterized. NCBI's taxonomy places the organism in Eukaryota, Metazoa, Chordata, Mammalia, Rodentia, Cricetidae. The record is from RefSeq and is a predicted model, not a curated record.
CAACAGAGAUCUUCACAGCAGGCUUCUUCCACAGCGUGAAGCUGUGAGCUAACAUCACCAUGGUAACAGGUAGGGCUUUGGUUACAAAGGAAUGAGCACAAAGCAGCCAGUCUUCCACUAGAAACCUGAAGCAUUCUGGGAGCUAGCCAGAAAUUUUCUCUACCAUCCCCCAGGACUUGAAUGACAGAAAUCUCUUCGGUUGUCAACAAUGUUACAUGACACAGGAAGCCUUGCCCUGUGUAACUUCACGGCCAAUUUUACAUACUGAAUACAUGAAUGAACCAUGUACCUGACAAUCAGCUGUCCCUGCUCCUCAUCCACCUCAGAAGGGGCCACAGUCAGACGGCAAACGGCAGACUGCAGGCUGGUAUGACUGUGGCUUACGGCCAGGAAAACGGCUUCUUCAAUCCAGGUGAGAAGGCUCAGCUGCAGCGGGUUUACCUCCUCAUCUUCACCGUUCCCAAGCUGAAUUCUGUUUCAAAUAUUAAAGAAUGUCCAAGAUGAGAACAAAGCUUUAAAUCACUGAACUUUAAAAACAUUUCCUUAUAAAGGGAAACUACAGUCAACUCAUCAUUUGGAGAAACAGAACUUGCGCUACAGCCCUGAAUAAAACACCUGCACCAAC